AACCCAUGGUGAGGGCAUCUUCGUAAAAAGUUCUUAUAUCCCUCCCAGGCAUCGUAGAGUGCUUCUAAAUCCAUCUGCACAAAAGAAGAGAUAUCAUUACGAAAUUU
This is a small nucleolar RNA of Gossypium arboreum, 107 nucleotides long. It matches the Rfam family "Plant small nucleolar RNA R71". Rfam says of the family: R71 is a member of the C/D box family of snoRNAs containing the C (UGAUGA) and D (CUGA) box motifs. Multiple nearly identical copies of this snoRNA have been identified in Arabidopsis, and it is thought to function as a 2'-O-ribose methylation guide for 18S ribosomal RNA. The record is from Rfam. NCBI's taxonomy places the organism in Eukaryota, Viridiplantae, Streptophyta, Magnoliopsida, Malvales, Malvaceae.